Non-coding RNA from Pelobates cultripes (western spadefoot toad), 117 nucleotides. The record is from the annotation of a GenBank genome assembly. Lineage: Eukaryota; Metazoa; Chordata; Amphibia; Anura; Pelobatidae.
GUGUGUGUGUGUGUGUGUGUGUGUAUGGACUCAGCAGUCUGUGUGUGUGUAUGGACAUAGCAGUCUGUGUGUGUAUGGACUCAGCAGUCUGCUUAGUCCAUACACACACACAGACUG